AAUAAAUAAAUAAAUAAAAUAUAACAAAAAAAUCUUGGACUUGGACCUCUCUCAUUUGAGCCCACAAAGCCACGAAAAUCAGGUUAUAAAUUCUAAAAAAUAAUUCAGUGGAAAACCCCUAGAGAGAUUCUAACUAAUUCAAAGCAACCUCCAGAGACUGAAGGGAACUCAUCUGCAAAGAACCAAUUCCCUCUCAUAUAAACCCUAAGAUUGUUCUGCAAAGCCAACAGUGCAAUUCA
This 239-nucleotide long non-coding RNA is filed under the name Lathyrus oleraceus (garden pea). Its description in RNAcentral is "Pisum sativum (pea) long non-coding RNA (PSAT_LNC020829)". The record is from RNAcentral. Lineage: Eukaryota; Viridiplantae; Streptophyta; Magnoliopsida; Fabales; Fabaceae.